Molecule: ribosomal RNA, 253 nt
Filed under: uncultured bacterium
Lineage: Bacteria
Description: partial 16S ribosomal RNA
Rfam family: Bacterial small subunit ribosomal RNA
Source: RNAcentral
UACGUAGGGUGCGAGCGUUAAUCGGAAUUACUGGGCGUAAAGCGUGCGCAGGCGGUUCGUUAAGUUCGAUGUGAAAGCCCCGGGCUCAACCUGGGAACUGCAUUGGAAACUGGCGAGCUUGAGUGCGGCAGAGGGGGGUGGAAUUCCGCGUGUAGCAGUGAAAUGCGUAGAGAUGCGGAGGAACACCGAUGGCGAAGGCAGCCCCCUGGGCCGAACCUGACGCUGAGGCGCGAAGGCUAGGGGAGCGAACGGG